AAUGAACGCUGGCGGCAUGCCUAACACAUGCAAGUCGAACGAAGGCCCGAUUUCGGUUGGGUCCUUAGUGGCGCACGGGUGCGUAACGCGUGGGAAUCUGCCCCUCGGUUCGGAAUAACAGUUAGAAAUGACUGCUAAUACCGGAUGAUGACGUAAGUCCAAAGAUUUAUCGCCGAGGGAUGAGCCCGCGUAGGAUUAGCUAGUUGGUGUGGUAAGAGCGCACCAAGGCGACGAUCCUUAGCUGGUCUGAGAGGAUGAUCAGCCACACUGGGACUGAGACACGGCCCAGACUCCUACGGGAGGCAGCAGUGGGGAAUAUUGGACAAUGGGCGAAAGCCUGAUCCAGCAAUGCCGCGUGAGUGAUGAAGGCCUUAGGGUUGUAAAGCUCUUUUACCCGGGAUGAUAAUGACAGUACCGGGAGAAUAAGCUCCGGCUAACUCCGUGCCAGCCGCCGCAGUA
RNAcentral lists this ribosomal RNA (459 nucleotides) under uncultured bacterium. Its description in RNAcentral is "bacterial SSU rRNA". It matches the Rfam family "Bacterial small subunit ribosomal RNA", at positions 29 to 522 of the family's 1533-position model. The record is from RNAcentral.